UACGAAGGGGGCUAGCGUUGCUCGGAAUCACUGGGCGUAAAGGGUGCGUAGGCGGGUCUUUAAGUCAGGGGUGAAAUCCUGGAGCUCAACUCCAGAACUGCCUUUGAUACUGAGGAUCUUGAGUUCGGGAGAGGUGAGUGGAACUGCGAGUGUAGAGGUGAAAUUCGUAGAUAUUCGCAAGAACACCAGGGGCGAAGGCGGCUCACGGGCCCGAUACUGACGCUGAGGCACGAAAGCGUGGGGAGCAAACAGG
This 253-nucleotide ribosomal RNA is filed under the name uncultured bacterium. RNAcentral describes it as "partial 16S ribosomal RNA". It matches the Rfam family "Bacterial small subunit ribosomal RNA", at positions 524 to 776 of the family's 1533-position model. The record is from RNAcentral.